This 445-nucleotide ribosomal RNA is filed under the name uncultured bacterium. RNAcentral describes it as "bacterial SSU rRNA". It matches the Rfam family "Bacterial small subunit ribosomal RNA", at positions 330 to 792 of the family's 1533-position model. The record is from RNAcentral.
CCCAGACUCCUACGGGAGGCAGCAGUGGGGAAUAUUACACAAUGGGGGAAACCCUGAUGCAGCGACGCCGCGUGAGUGAAGAAGUAUUUCGGUAUGUAAAGCUCUAUCAGCAGGGAAGAAAAUGACGGUACCUGACUAAGAAGCCCCGGCUAACUACGUGCCAGCAGCCGCGGUAAUACGUAGGGGGCAAGCGUUAUCCGGAUUUACUGGGUGUAAAGGGAGCGUAGACGGCAGCGCAAGUCUGGAGUGAAAUGCCGGGGCCCAACCCCGGAACUGCUCUGGAAACUGUGAAGCUGGAGUGCAGGAGAGGUAAGCGGAAUUCCUGGUGUAGCGGUGAAAUGCGUAGAUAUCAGGAGGAACACCGGCGGCGAAGGCGGCUUACUGGACUGUAACUGACGUUGAGGCUCGAAGGCGUGGGGAGCAAACAGGAUUAGAUACCCUGGUA